AGAGUUUGAUCAUGGCUCAGAACGAACGCUGGCGGCAGGCUUAACACAUGCAAGUCGAACGCUCGUAGCAAUACGGGAGUGGCAGACGGGUGAGUAACGCGUGGGAACAUACCCUCCGGUUCGGAAUAGCUCAGGGAAACUUGGAUUAAUACCGGAUACGGCUGAGAGGCGAAAGAUUUAUCGCCGGAGGAUUGGCCCGCGUUCGAUUAGCUAGUUGGUGAGGUAACGGCUCACCAAGGCGAUGAUCGAUAGCUGGUCUGAGAGGAUGAUCAGCCACAUUGGGACUGAGACACGGCCCAAACUCCUACGGGAGGCAGCAGUGGGGAAUAUUGGACAAUGGGCGCAAGCCUGAUCCAGCCAUGCCGCGUGAGUGAUGACGGCCUUAGGGUUGUAAAGCUCUUUCGCUCGGGACGAUAAUGACGGUACCGAGAUAAGAAGCCCCGGCUAACUUCGUGCCAGCAGCCGCGGUAAUACGAAGGGGGCUAGCGUUGUUCGGAAUUACUGGGCGUAAAGCGCGUGUAGGCGGGUCUUUAAGUCAGGGGUGAAAUGCCAAGGCUCAACCUUGGAACUGCCUUUGAUACUGGAGACCUUGAGUCCGGGAGAGGUGAGUGGAAUUGCGAGUGUAGAGGUGAAAUUCGUAGAUAUUCGCAAGAACACCAGUGGCGAAGGCGGCUCACUGGCCCGGAACUGACGCUGAGACGCGAAAGCGUGGGGAGCAAACAGGAUUAGAUACCCCAGUAGUCC
Molecule: ribosomal RNA, 744 nt
Filed under: uncultured bacterium
Lineage: Bacteria
Description: bacterial SSU rRNA
Rfam family: Bacterial small subunit ribosomal RNA
Source: RNAcentral